This 1094-nucleotide ribosomal RNA is filed under the name Salmonella enterica. RNAcentral describes it as "partial 23S ribosomal RNA". It matches the Rfam family "Bacterial large subunit ribosomal RNA", at positions 711 to 1785 of the family's 2925-position model. The record is from RNAcentral. Lineage: Bacteria; Pseudomonadati; Pseudomonadota; Gammaproteobacteria; Enterobacterales; Enterobacteriaceae.
AGACCCGAAACCCGGUGAUCUAGCCAUGGGCAGGUUGAAGGUUGGGUAACACUAACUGGAGGACCGAACCGACUAAUGUUGAAAAAUUAGCGGAUGACCUGUGGCUGGGGGUGAAAGGCCAAUCAAACCGGGAGAUAGCUGGUUCUCCCCGAAAGCUAUUUAGGUAGCGCCUCGUGAAUUCAUCUCCGGGGGUAGAGCACUGUUUCGGCUAGGGGGCCAUCCCGGCUUACCAACCCGAUGCAAACUGCGAAUACCGGAGAAUGUUAUCACGGGAGACACACGGCGGGUGCUAACGUCCGUCGUGAAGAGGGAAACAACCCAGACCGCCAGCUAAGGUCCCAAAGUCAUGGUUAAGUGGGAAACGAUGUGGGAAGGCCCAGACAGCCAGGAUGUUGGCUUAGAAGCAGCCAUCAUUUAAAGAAAGCGUAAUAGCUCACUGGUCGAGUCGGCCUGCGCGGAAGAUGUAACGGGGCUAAACCAUGCACCGAAGCUGCGGCAGCGACGCUUAUGCGUUGUUGGGUAGGGGAGCGUUCUGUAAGCCUGCGAAGGUGGCCUGUGAGGGUUGCUGGAGGUAUCAGAAGUGCGAAUGCUGACAUAAGUAACGAUAAAGCGGGUGAAAAGCCCGCUCGCCGGAAGACCAAGGGUUCCUGUCCAACGUUAAUCGGGGCAGGGUGAGUCGACCCCUAAGGCGAGGCCGAAAGGCGUAGUCGAUGGGAAACGGGUUAAUAUUCCCGUACUUGGUGUUACUGCGAAGGGGGGACGGAGAAGGCUAUGUUGGCCGGGCGACGGUUGUCCCGGUUUAAGCGUGUAGGUGUGUGUUCCAGGUAAAUCCGGUUCACUUUAACACUGAGGCGUGACGACGAGGCACUACGGUGCUGAAGCAACAAAUGCCCUGCUUCCAGGAAAAGCCUCUAAGCAUCAGGUAACAUCAAAUCGUACCCCAAACCGACACAGGUGGUCAGGUAGAGAAUACCAAGGCGCUUGAGAGAACUCGGGUGAAGGAACUAGGCAAAAUGGUGCCGUAACUUCGGGAGAAGGCACGCUGACACGUAGGUGAAGUGAUUUACUCAUGGAGCUGAAGUCAGUCGAAGAUA